RNAcentral lists this ribosomal RNA (478 nucleotides) under uncultured bacterium. Its description in RNAcentral is "bacterial SSU rRNA". It matches the Rfam family "Bacterial small subunit ribosomal RNA", at positions 30 to 504 of the family's 1533-position model. The record is from RNAcentral.
CGAACGCUAGCGGCGCGCUUAACACAUGCAAGUCGAACGCCAACGAUCCGCUUCGGUGGGUCUAGUAGCGUGGCGGACGGGUGAGUAACGCGUAGGCAACCUACCCUUGAGUGGGGAAUAAGCCCGGGAAACUGGGUACAAUACCGCAUGUUAUUCCGAUUACGCAUGUAAUUGGAAUCAAAGCCUUCGGGCGCUCAGGGAUGGGCCUGCGUCCUAUUAGCUUGUUGGUAAGGUAACGGCUUACCAAGGCUACGAUGGGUAGUUGGUCUGAGAGGAUGAUCAGCCACACUGGGACUGAGAUACGGCCCAGACUCCUACGGGAGGCAGCAGUGAGGAAUAUUGCGCAAUGGGCGAAAGCCUGACGCAGCGACGCCGCGUGUGCGAUGAAGCCUUUCGGGGUGUAAAGCACUGUCCAGAGGGAAGAAUGCCCGUUUCGGCGGGAGCGACGGUACCUCUGUAGAAAGCUCCGGCUAACUCC